Molecule: ribosomal RNA, 468 nt
Filed under: uncultured bacterium
Lineage: Bacteria
Description: partial 16S ribosomal RNA
Rfam family: Bacterial small subunit ribosomal RNA
Source: RNAcentral
GACGAACGCUGGCGGCGUGCUUAACACAUGCAAGUCGAACGGAAAGGCCCGGCUUUCGUGGGGUGCUCGAGGGGCGAACGUGUGAGAAGCACGUGAGUAACCUGCCUGUUACGUUGUGAUAUCUGGAAUAAGCCGGGGAUACUACCUGAUAGGAGCGCCUGCACCAUGGGGGGGUUCGGACAGUUUCGGCUGUUGGGGUUGUACUGGGGGCUUAUCAGUUUGUGGGUGGGGUAGUGGCUUACCAAGGCUUCGACGGAUAGCCGGCCUGGGAGGGGGAACGGCGACAUUGGGACUGAGAUACGGACCAGACGCAUACGGGAGGCAGGAGUGGGGAAUAUUGCACAAUGGGCGGGAGCCUGAGGAAGCGACGCCGGGUGCGGGAUGACGGCCUUCGGGUGGGAAAGCGCUUUCGCCUGUGACGAAGCGUGAGUGACGGUAAUGGGUGAAGAAGCACCGGCUAACUACGUG